RNAcentral lists this long non-coding RNA (383 nucleotides) under Macaca mulatta (Rhesus monkey). RNAcentral describes it as "lncRNA (ENSMMUG00000039940.2)". The record is from RNAcentral. Lineage: Eukaryota; Metazoa; Chordata; Mammalia; Primates; Cercopithecidae.
AGCCUUCCAAUUUUUCAUCUUUUGUACCUUCACACUAAUGGCAAAUAAGAAUUAAUGGAUAAAGAAGACAAAAUGGAAAAUCAUAAAAUAUGACCGUUGGUGUGUCUUCAGCAAGUAGAAGGGUAAAUUAAUGAAGCAAGUCACUAAAAAUUGCAUGUUCUAUUAACUAAUGAGAUGACCACAAAGAGAAGAAAAUUCAAUAGCUAAGGGAAAGCGACAUCUAUUUAUUGGUCAUGAACUUAAUCAGCCUUGGGAUAUGGAAGAAGGAUUGAAAAACACCAGUCACAGCCAUGUUCUUUUUGUAUGAAAGGCAGACAAGAAAACGCAUGACCUAAAGCCAACAUAAGAGAGUCGAGUAUGAGGGUACAUUUGUGAUCUCAAAG